Molecule: long non-coding RNA, 232 nt
Organism: Metopolophium dirhodum (rose-grain aphid)
Lineage: Eukaryota; Metazoa; Arthropoda; Insecta; Hemiptera; Aphididae
Exons: 3
Source: RefSeq, a predicted model, not a curated record
CUAGAAUUUUCCCGUACAAAAUUAUAAAAGUGCGUUCACAUUUGAGUAAACUUACAUGAUUUAAUAAAAACCCUCGGUUCAACGGAUUGUGUUUAUUAAAGAUAAAUGCUGUUGACGCAGUUGCCAGGAGCGGUGCUGAAAGUAAAGUAGUUGAAAUACAGAUGCCCUUUCUGAGAACAAUAUUUUUAAUACAGUACUUAUAGGGAUGAUCACUUAAACUAUGGGUGGCAGU